This 464-nucleotide ribosomal RNA is filed under the name Vreelandella stevensii. RNAcentral describes it as "partial 16S ribosomal RNA". It matches the Rfam family "Bacterial small subunit ribosomal RNA", at positions 338 to 795 of the family's 1533-position model. The record is from RNAcentral. Lineage: Bacteria; Pseudomonadati; Pseudomonadota; Gammaproteobacteria; Oceanospirillales; Halomonadaceae.
CCUACGGGGGGCAGCAGUGGGGAAUAUUGGACAAUGGGGGCAACCCUGAUCCAGCCAUGCCGCGUGUGUGAAGAAGGCCCUCGGGUUGUAAAGCACUUUCAGUGAGGAAGAACGCCUGGUGGUUAAUACCCAUCAGGAAAGACAUCACUCACAGAAGAAGCACCGGCUAACUCCGUGCCAGCAGCCGCGGUAAUACGGAGGGUGCGAGCGUUAAUCGGAAUUACUGGGCGUAAAGCGCGCGUAGGUGGCUUGAUAAGCCGGUUGUGAAAGCCCCGGGCUCAACCUGGGAACGGCAUCCGGAACUGUCAAGGUAGAGUGCAGGAGAGGAAGGUAGAAUUCCCGGUGUAGCGGUGAAAUGCGUAGAGAUCGGGAGGAAUACCAGUGGCGAAGGCGGCCUUCUGGACUGACACUGACACUGAGGUGCGAAAGCGUGGGUAGCAAACAGGAUUAGAUACCCGGUAGUC